CCUACGGGUGGCAGCAGUGGGGAAUAUUGCACAAUGGGGGAAACCCUGAUGCAGCGACGCCGCGUGAAGGAAGAAGUAUUUCGGUAUGUAAACUUCUAUCAGCAGGGAAGAAAAUGACGGUACCUGACUAAGAAGCCCCGGCUAACUACGUGCCAGCAGCCGCGGUAAUACGUAGGGGGCAAGCGUUAUACGGAUUUACUGGGUGUAAAGGGAGUGUAGGCGGCUAUGCAAGUCAGAAGUGAAAGCCCGGGGCUCAACUCCGGGACUGCUUUUGAAACUGGAUGUCUAGAUUGCAGGAGAGGCAAGUGGAAUUCCUAGUGUAGCGGUGAAAUGCGUAGAUAUUAGGAGGAACACCAGUGGCGAAGGCGGCUUGCUAGACUGUAAAUGACGCUGAGGCUCGAAAGUGUGGGUAGCAAACAGGAUUAGAUACCCCAGUAGUC
RNAcentral lists this ribosomal RNA (440 nucleotides) under uncultured bacterium. RNAcentral describes it as "partial 16S ribosomal RNA". It matches the Rfam family "Bacterial small subunit ribosomal RNA", at positions 338 to 795 of the family's 1533-position model. The record is from RNAcentral.